UCCCAGGUGGCUCAAAUGGUAAAGUAUCUGCUUGCAAUGCAGGAGACCUAGGUUUGAGUCCUAGGUCAGGAA
Ovis aries (sheep) is the source of this 72-nucleotide transfer RNA. It matches the Rfam family "tRNA". Rfam says of the family: Transfer RNA (tRNA) molecules are approximately 80 nucleotides in length. Their secondary structure includes four short double-helical elements and three loops (D, anti-codon, and T loops). NCBI's taxonomy places the organism in Eukaryota, Metazoa, Chordata, Mammalia, Artiodactyla, Bovidae. The record is from Rfam.